Molecule: long non-coding RNA, 226 nt
Organism: Polypterus senegalus (gray bichir)
Lineage: Eukaryota; Metazoa; Chordata; Cladistia; Polypteriformes; Polypteridae
Exons: 3
Source: RefSeq, a predicted model, not a curated record
AAUUUUUCCCCUAUCCCUCAGGUGCUGUGAGGUAUUUGUGAAAUUGUGAACGUUCAGCCAGGUGCUGUGAGGUGUGUCUUCUUUGAAAUUGUGAACUUAUUCAUCUUUCCUUGGCUGCGAUGGCUCUGAGAAUGAGACGAUGGCGAAAACGGAAAAGAGAACUCGAUCUACUUCUACGUUAUUCUGACAGUGAUGAACACCAGGGCACUGAAAAUAAUAGUGACAG